CAUGCAAGUCGAACGAGCGAGAGAGAGCUUGCUUUCUCAAGCGAGUGGCGAACGGGUGAGUAACGCGUGAGGAACCUGCCUCAAAGAGGGGGACAACAGUUGGAAACGACUGCUAAUACCGCAUAAGCCCACGACCCGGCAUCGGGUAGAGGGAAAAGGAGCAAUCCGCUUUGAGAUGGCCUCGCGUCCGAUUAGCUAGUUGGUGAGGUAAUGGCCCACCAAGGCGACGAUCGGUAGCCGGACCGAGAGGUUGAACGGCCACAUUGGGACUGAGACACGGCCCAGACUCCUACGGGAGGCAGCAGUGGGGAAUAUUGCACAAUGGGGGAAACCCUGAUGCAGCGACGCCGCGUGGAGGAAGAAGGUCUUCGGAUUGUAAACUCCUGUUGUUGAGGAAGAUAAUGACGGUACUCAACAAGGAAGUGACGGCUAACUACGUGCCAGCAGCCGCGGUAAAACGUAGGUCACAAGCGUUGUCCGGAAUUACUGGGUGUAAGGGGAGCGCAGGCGGGAAGACAAGUUGGAAGUGAAAUCCAUGGGCUCAACCCAUGAACUGCUUUCAAAACUGUUUUUCUUGAGUAGUGCAGAGGUAGGCGGAAUUCCCGGUGUAGCGGUGGAAUGCGUAGAUAUCGGGAGGAACACCAGUGGCGAAGGCGGCCUACUGGGCACCAACUGACGCUGAGGCUCGAAAGUGUGGGUAGCAAACAGGAUUAGAUACCCUGGUAGU
Molecule: ribosomal RNA, 727 nt
Filed under: uncultured bacterium
Lineage: Bacteria
Description: bacterial SSU rRNA
Rfam family: Bacterial small subunit ribosomal RNA
Source: RNAcentral